Molecule: ribosomal RNA, 836 nt
Filed under: Salmonella enterica
Lineage: Bacteria; Pseudomonadati; Pseudomonadota; Gammaproteobacteria; Enterobacterales; Enterobacteriaceae
Also listed under: 5 other names
Description: bacterial LSU rRNA
Rfam family: Bacterial large subunit ribosomal RNA
Source: RNAcentral
AGACCCGAAACCCGGUGAUCUAGCCAUGGGCAGGUUGAAGGUUGGGUAACACUAACUGGAGGACCGAACCGACUAAUGUUGAAAAAUUAGCGGAUGACCUGUGGCUGGGGGUGAAAGGCCAAUCAAACCGGGAGAUAGCUGGUUCUCCCCGAAAGCUAUUUAGGUAGCGCCUCGUGAAUUCAUCUCCGGGGGUAGAGCACUGUUUCGGCCAGGGGGCCAUCCCGGCUUACCAAUCCGAUGCAAACUGCGAAUACCGGAGAAUGUUAUCACGGGAGACACACGGCGGGUGCUAACGUCCGUCGUGAAGAGGGAAACAACCCAGACCGCCAGCUAAGGUCCCAAAGUCAUGGUUAAGUGGGAAACGAUGUGGGAAGGCCCAGACAGCCAGGAUGUUGGCUUAGAAGCAGCCAUCAUUUAAAGAAAGCGUAAUAGCUCACUGGUCGAGUCGGCCUGCGCGGAAGAUGUAACGGGGCUAAACCAUGCACCGAAGCUGCGGCAGCGACACUGAUGUGUUGUUGGGUAGGGGAGCGUUCUGUAAGCCGUUGAAGGUGGCCUGUGAGGGUUGCUGGAGGUAUCAGAAGUGCGAAUGCUGACAUAAGUAACGAUAAAGCGGGUGAAAAGCCCGCUCGCCGGAAGACCAAGGGUUCCUGUCCAACGUUAAUCGGGGCAGGGUGAGUCGACCCCUAAGGCGAGGCCGAAAGGCGUAGUCGAUGGGAAACGGGUUAAUAUUCCCGUACUUGGUGUUACUGCGAAGGGGGGACGGAGAAGGCUAUGUUGGCCGGGCGACGGUUGUCCCGGUUUAAGCGUGUAGGUGUGUGUUCCAGGUAAAUCCGGUU